RNAcentral lists this ribosomal RNA (368 nucleotides) under uncultured organism. RNAcentral describes it as "bacterial SSU rRNA". It matches the Rfam family "Bacterial small subunit ribosomal RNA", at positions 526 to 896 of the family's 1533-position model. The record is from RNAcentral.
CAGAGGGUGCAAGCGUUAAUCGGAAUUACUGGGCGUAAAGCGUGCGUAGUCGGUUAUCUAAGUCGGAUGUGAAAUCCCCGGGCUCAACCUGGGAAUUGCAUUCGAUACUGGGUAGCUAGAGUUCGGCAGAGGGAAGCGGAAUUUCUGGUGUAGCGGUGAAAUGCGUAGAUAUCAGAAGGAACAUCAGUGGCGAAAGCGGCUUCCUGGACCAGAACUGACGAUCAGGCACGAAAGCGUGGGAGCAAACAGGAUUAGAUACCCUGGUAGUCCACGCCAUAAACGAUGACAACUAGACGUUGGGGACAUAUGGUCCACAGUGUCGCAGCUAACGCGUUAAGUUGUCCGCCUGGGAGUACGGCGCAAGGUUG